Prionailurus viverrinus (fishing cat) is the source of this 4825-nucleotide long non-coding RNA. RefSeq lists it as uncharacterized. The record is from RefSeq and is a predicted model, not a curated record. Lineage: Eukaryota; Metazoa; Chordata; Mammalia; Carnivora; Felidae. The transcript has 6 exons.
GCCACGGCUCGGGUCGGCGGCACUGGCUGCGGGCGUCGGGCGAGGGGCGAGGGAGCCCCCGCAGCCCCCGCUGGCGCCCGCAACUCGGGGCUCCGUCUGGGAGCUGCAGCGGCCACACUUCGCGCAGACACGCGCGCGGGGGAGGGGAGGGUGACAGAACCGACCCGGGAAGCUGGCCUUGGGCGCACGGGACCCCUCACCUGCCGAGGCAGGUAGGGAGCCAGUGGCCCACCUGGAUAGACGCGCCACUAGAAAGCCUUCAGGCGCUGAGGCAAGGGUCCCUCCCGGGCGUGGAAAAUUCUCGCUUCAACUUGUGGGUCCAGAGUGUGAAUCAAGAAUAACAUGGCAACCGAGCCUGGGGAGCCAUGGACCCAUCCUGAGUCUUGGACCACCAUUCAUGCUGUCUAUCCUCUACCUUAGUGUUCUCAGAGGGAAACAUUGCAUCUUUGAAGUGUCAAGUCGAUUUGAUUACUCUCAGUCUCUUUGAUAAUGGAUCAUGCUAUGAAAUGCUAGCUUCGUGGUGGAAUAUCAAUGACCUUUAUAUCUGGAAUAUGAAGUGAUAUCGGCCCUAUGGAGAGACCCACGUAGCAGGGGACAAAGCCUCCAGUGAACAGCCAUGAGAGCGAGCCUUCUUGGAAGUGGCUACUCUGGCUUCAGCCAUGCCCACAGUGUCUCAGCAGAUGUCCAAGGUUGAGAGAAGCUCUGCUGAUGGACUGUACCCAAGGAGCCUCAUCCAUACCAGAAACUAACUUAGAUGAUGAGAUUCUGGAGUUUGAGCUGACGCAUCAGAUUUUGUGGACCUUAUGAAGAGUGCGUAUAUUUUACAUGUAGGAAGAAUGUAAGUAAUUUGUGGACAGAGGAUGGACUAUGGUAUUUUUAAAUGUAUCCCCUGAAGAGGUAGAGUCCAAUCCCCCCCCCCCCUUCAUGCGAGUGUCUGUGGACUUAAUGACUCCUUUCUAAUGACUAGAAUAAAGUAGAAGUGAGAGAGGGAAACUUGUACAACUAGGUUGUGCAGGCCACUGUGCCUCUUUCUCGGUUAUUCUGGGAGAAGUUAGCUGCCAUGGCAUGAGCAGCUGAAUGGAGUGGUCCACGUGGCAAGAAACAAGAGUCCUCCAAGAGAGCCAUGUGCGUGAGCUUUCCUGGAAGUCAAUCCUCCAGUUGCAGCCAUGCCUUCAGAUGACUAGUCCCAGCUCACAGCUUGAUGGCAACCUCGUGAGAGACCCUGGGGCUGGAUCACCCAGCUAAGCUGCUCCCGAAUUCCCCACUCUCAGGAACUGUGUGAGAUAUUAAAUGUUUUCUUAGGAUUCUGCAUUUUGGGUACUCUGCCUGGCAGCAAUAGAUAACUAAUAUAGCACAAGGGGAAAUAUUCUUUUGUAGCAUUUGUCAAAUAAGUUCAGAUAUGAGGCACUGAGCGAACUUCCCGAUCUCAGAUAAUCAUGGCAAAUGACUGGCCCUUGAGGUACAGGGAAAAAGCCAGUGAGACACAGAGGGAAAGUAAAGAGGAAGAUAAAAGAAGAGAGGACUAAAAGAAGGAAUAAAAGAAAAAAUAGCAAGAGAAGGACACAGGAAAGGUGUCCAUAUUUCCUAGUUUACUCAGGACAGUCCCAGUUUGUAGUGUUGUCCUACUACAAUUAUAACUAGAAUCCCCUUUCACUUUCAAGGGUCUUGGUUUGAAGGAUAAAUUAUAUGACUCUAGCUAGAGGCCAAUAUUUCAGUCUUCCAUUCUCACUGUUUUUUGCCUUAAUAUUCUAUCUUUUUCCCAUGGCUUGUUGCCCCAGCCUCUUUCCAGUCUGUUCUGAUACUAGCCCAGCGUCCUAACUUUCCCACCAAACCACAGCCUGUCACUGGCACCAGCUCCAGGAGUUAGAGGUCAUCUCUGUCCACUCCCUCGUGUUCUUUCAUCACAGUAAGCAGUUUGUCACAGCAGCAAAGAGAUCAGUGUAGGAACUAGACAAGGGUCUGGCUCUUGGUUGUAUACCUGCUGGGGGAAUUACUUAACUUCUUUAAGCCUCAGAUAUAAGCUUCAGAAUAGAAUAUUAUCUACAAUCUUAUAGGGAUGUGGAAGAUGUUAAUGGGAUUGUGUACAUAAUGUGCUUAGCACAGUGCCUGACAUAUAUAUGCUGGGCACUGUACCUUUGAGCAUUUUAUAUGCAUAAUAUAUUUGACGAAUAUAUGUUAGUUAUAAUCUUAACUUACUGUCACAGAAAACAAAGUCAUCUCAUUGAGGCUGAAGCACCUUAGGUGUCGGCACAUGUAUUUUACUGGGGAACCCUCAAGUACAUGAGUACUUGUCUUUAUUAGUUUUAAUGUUAGAAGGCAGAGACAUGGUUAGGAAAUGUGUUUAGGAGUAAAGUAAAAGCCAGGCAAAGCCUAUAUUUGCUUUUCAGGCUUGAUAUGUUUUACUUUGCUCAUUCAUUCAUUCAUUCAUACAUUUAUCCACUUAUUCUUUCAACAAAGAUAUAUUAGUUAUCUACCAGAUCACACGCACGAUGCUAACCACAGGAUUGAGCAAUGCUUUGCAACAAGAAUAAAGCUGUAUUCCCACUUCUUCCAGGAAAACAUUACAUUUAAAAAAGGUGUUAUGUGGGAAUAUGAGUGACUAGUGAUCUGAAGCCAAAUUAAAAAAUAUAUAUACACACACACACACGUAUGUUUUUCAGGGUGACUAGAUUUUAUUUUAAAUUAGUUUUGAGCAAUAGAAGCAAUUUGCUGCUAUAAAAAGGAACAGGUUUUAGCUUUUGACUUGAUUUUUUUUUAAACUAAGAGUGGGAAAAUGCAAAUUAUGUGAAUAUAUAAUUCGGAAUCCUGGUGAUGGGAGCAGAAGGAGCUGACAGGAAGACAGAAUUCUCUUUUUUUUUUUUUUUUUUGCCAUAGGCAAUCCUUUUCUCUGUUUUUAGGAAAAAAGAAAACUAGUAGCCAGAAAUAGUCCUAGGCACAUGGAUUAUAUAUUUCAUAUGCAUAGCAUAGAAUAUUCAGUAAAGUUAAGUAGGUGUCUGAAAACCAAGAAACUUCAAUACAUGAAGGUGACGACAACAAUUAAAGUAGGAUGCCUUCAACCUAUAUGGUAGGUUCAAGGGAUUUGGCAAUAUCUUUUUUUUUUCAUUUUUAAAAAUAUAUAUAUUUUUCACUAUUUUUAAUUCCCUUUGAUAAUGAGCACCACUUCAUACUUUUCAAUAGCUCAUGGAUUUUUACCUCUGUGUUCAUCUUCAAGGUCAAGUUUAUGAACAUGCUACAAAUAAGCUAACUGUAAACGAGUUAGGGAUGUUUUUUAGGAGUAAUAAUAACCAACAUUUAUUAAGUGUUUGUUAAAUUCAAAGCCGUACAGGCCAUUUCCCCUCAAAUUCUCACAACAGCCAUGGGACUCCGCCGCUGUCAUUGUCUUAUCCCACGUGUGAAAAAAGCAUGGAAAGUGGAAGAACCUUGCUUGACUACAAAGGUAGGUGGUGACAGAGUCAGGAUUUGAACCUGGGAGUCUGGCUCGAGACCCAUGCUUAACCACACUAUUUUGAAUGGAUGGGCUAAAUGUUUUUCACCUGUUUAUGGAUAUUUCCCAAUUAGUCUCUUUUGAAAAAGUUAUAUCUUCUUGGGUUCUCUUUUAAGUCCUUGCCCUUGUCUCUGUUCUAUCCAAGGAUCAUUUAACCUGAUAAAUAUGCAAGUCCACACCUGUCUGCAUGAUGCACUGACUCAUUCAUUUAGCUGAAAGGUAGAAACCAAAUUGGUUUUUAAAAAUACAUAGGAAUCUAAUUGAAAAAUUUCAUGAAUCACCUUAAUGAGAAACCAGUAGCAGAAUCUCAAGUACAGAGAGCCUCAGACAAUUGCUUUUUAAAAGCCCUGGUCAACUAUACAUAUUCAUCUUGAAUGAAAAUGCCUCUCUAGCAAGACAUUGCGUGGCAGUAGUAAUCACUGAAGUUUAGGAUGUGAAAACCAUCUCAAGUGACUUAAAUUAUUGUUCCUUAUUCUUCUGUGUUUGAACAUCAUGAUGUGUCUACUUAGUAUUGAAUAGCGAGGUGGCCAGUAUUCUUUCCAGCACUGGGUAAAUUAAAGACAAACCAAGUUGAUAACAUCUCGCUCUUAUUUGUUCUUUAUAAAUUUACAUUCUGCCGGAUUUAUAAGCUUCACUUUGUACCUUUUUCUUAAAGUUUAUGUAUUUAUUUUGAGGGGGUGGGGGGAGGAAGAGGCAGAGAGAGAGGGAGAGAGAAUCCCCAGCGGGCUCCCACGAACCGUGAGAUCAUGACUUGAGCCGAAAUCAAGAGUCGGUCACUUGACCGACUGAGCCACCCAGGCGCUCCGACUUUGUACCUUUUGAGAGUGCAGCCAUUUGGAAUUUGGUUGUUAAGGAGAGUCCCUAAGUUGUGUUGCUGAAAUGUGAGGAAUCCCUUCAGACGGUUCGCCGCAGCUCACUGGGUGCCACUUCUCUCAGAGCGUAACACCCCGUGUUGCCCAACGCUGUGAGGGCAUGAGCAGGCCGCUUACCAUCCUGAUGGCUUUUCUCCUGCCCUUUUUUCCUAAUGGAAAAUCAUUUUUCCCAUUGGAAUUUUGAGACAAUCAAUAUCCACUUGCAAAUAGCAUAAACUAUUGCUUUUUCUUCAUUUGUUUCUUACCACCCUAUAUCCCACCCAACCCACAGAUGCCUUUGCACACUGGCCCAAAUUUCCACAAACCAGGGCAAGAAGGGCUGCAUAAAUUUUGGACCCUUCUGCAAAAUGAAAAUGCAGGGCUUUUUGUUCAAAAAAAAAAAAAAGGCAGGAAAAAACUAAGGUAAAGCCUAAGUUUUUUUUUUCCAUGCUCUCUCUCGCUCAACUUGUCGUGAUGUUUUCUGUGUGCU